UACUAAUGCCUUAUACGUAACUAUUCUA
RNAcentral lists this small RNA (28 nucleotides) under Bombyx mori (domestic silkworm). Its description in RNAcentral is "ovarian small RNA-21244". The record is from RNAcentral. Lineage: Eukaryota; Metazoa; Arthropoda; Insecta; Lepidoptera; Bombycidae.